UACGUAGGGUGCGAGCGUUAAUCGGAAUUACUGGGCGUAAAGCGUGCGCAGGCGGUUCUAUAAGACAGAUGUGAAAUCCCCGGGCUCAACCUGGGAACUGCAUUUGUGACUGUAGAGCUGGAGUACGGCAGAGGGGGAUGGAAUUCCGCGUGUAGCAGUGAAAUGCGUAGAUAUGUGGAGGAACACCGAUGGCGAAGGCAAUCCCCUGGGCCUGUACUGACGCUCAUGCACGAAAGCGUGGGGAGCAAACAGG
This 253-nucleotide ribosomal RNA is filed under the name uncultured bacterium. Its description in RNAcentral is "partial 16S ribosomal RNA". It matches the Rfam family "Bacterial small subunit ribosomal RNA", at positions 524 to 776 of the family's 1533-position model. The record is from RNAcentral.